RNAcentral lists this microRNA precursor (71 nucleotides) under Chlorocebus sabaeus (green monkey). Its description in RNAcentral is "miRNA (ENSCSAG00000024639.1)". Lineage: Eukaryota; Metazoa; Chordata; Mammalia; Primates; Cercopithecidae. The record is from RNAcentral.
UGGAUCACUUGAGGCCAAGAGCUCAAGGCUGUAGCGUACACAGCCUUGAAUUCUUGGCCUCAAGUGAUCCC